UUUGAGGCAGUUUGGCUUCAAACAUGUUCCACAUUAACUGUGGGUAAUCAAAUGCCGAUUAUUUCUUUUCAGAGCAUUUCAGACAAGACUGAUAAACCUUACAAUCAUUUCCCUAGGGAAUAUCUCCAGAACUGACUGGCUUUUGACUCCUGUGCAACUACAUAAUAUUGUUUAUAAAAUUAAAGUUUUAAUAUCUUUGUUUAUUUUCAGUCUAGUGUCUAGUUAAUGGCUUAAAGAAUUUAUUUUGCUCUGCUUUAUUUUCAUUGACAAUACAAUGAUAUAUGAUUUAUAGCACACUUGUUGCAGUUCCACUUUAAAUACCAAAGUUGGAUAUCAUAUGUUCCGGUAGUUAUUAUCUUGAUUUGAAUUGUUUCAGUAAAAGAAAUAUUAUAAGGAACAAACAUCCAAUUAGGAUUAGCCAGGUAUAAUACAAGAAAUAAUGAAACGAAAUAGGUUCCUAAAAAGUAAUAAGAAAUCAUUUUUAUUAAGGAUACAAUUCGAAAUGAUGAUAGAUUAUAUACAUUGUACACUGUCAGUGUUGAUUUAGGACGAUCCAUCGAAAUGUUUAUUUACACACGGAUAUGAACAUUAUACCAUGGGAAAUCGUAGCACAUAAUAUUUAGACUCAAGUCGGAAACAUUAUCCUGAAACGAUUAUUUUUCGUGAUAAACCUUGUGCUUCCACAGAUAAUAACCAGGGCAAGAUUCUUAUCAUUACUUCAAACCAACGGACACUAGCUUAUGUUCCCAAAAUGUAAACAAAAUAAGAAAAUCAACUGAAAUUUAUUUUGUAAAUUAGGGCGCCAAUAUAAAUUGAAUUGAUAAGAAAGUGCUAACUGCAAUAAACGCACUGGAAAGCUAUUUCGGAUAAAAUACAUCGGUUUUAGCGGACAUUUUUUAUGCAGAAUUACAGGAAAUCGUUAUUUGUUUUGGUCGUUUCUGAGCAUGGAUAUUUUUCGGAAGAGUUCGCAUGCUAGUUCCCACAUACUGGAUUCAGAUUCAUUGGUAAUUGAGGCCUUGUGUACUAUGCAAUACAAAGAAAACUACAUUCAUGUGUCAACAUUUGCUGUUAUAAACAGGGAUAUACACAGAUCAUUGUGGAUUAUAAAUAAAAGUUGGAUCUUUAAAAGCGACCACGUUACCUAACUGGAAUAGUGUUUUUAAGUAGAUGUAUUUUCUUAUUACUUUGAAUAUUACAGAUAUAUGGACAUUUGUUUUCGUAAUGUGAAAUGAUAACGUUUCUCGAAAAUGUCAGGACAGAAACAUUCAAUAAUUACAUUCUAACCAUAUCAAGUUGUGUAAGAUGUGCAAACAGUGACAAAAAUAACCAUGAUGGAAAAUAUUGAAAAUCUUGUAAUCUUUCACAAUUUUUUUUAUUACUUCUAUGAUGACUAAUGGCAAUACAUGCAAACAACAUGUAUUUUGUCUGUUUUCAGAAAGUUAAAUGCAAAAGGACUUGUAUUCUAUUUCACACAGUAUCAGUUACCUUGGAUAUUCAGUUUCCUGAUACUUAUCAGAAUUUUAUCCGUUAUCUUGGCUUUCCUGUACAUUUUUAUUCUUUAUUCAAUGACAUAUGCAUGUAUAAUUACAUAACACAGUGCUUAACACAGUGUUUGAAUUCUGAUAGCAACAGCAAUACUCAUCUUUUCAUCAGAUUUCAGAAUGUCUAGAAUUUUGAGUGCAAUGUUAUCACUCAUUUUAUUUAUCUGAUUUAAGAUAGAUUCAUACAAUAUCAACAUAGGUCGCUUGUAACGGCUUAUCGGAAUUCGGAUAGCAACAUUGACACACAUUAUUUAUUUCCUCUGUUUAUAGUUAUAUAAUUCAGGUAGUAGAGUCAAUGCUGUUUUUUCUACUGCCUGCUCUCAAAUGGUGUUUAUCUGAAUUUUGAUAGCAAACGCAACGCACAGUUUCUCUACUGUUCGGCUGCAGAUCGUUUUACGCUAUGGCUUAGGCGAAUUCGGAUAAAAACGAAAAUACAUACACAAGAUCUAUUUCAUAUAUUCCUGAUGAGAUGCAAAACUUAUAGCUAUUUCAAUUCAAAUAGCAAAGCCAAUGCUAGGUUUUUUGAACGGCAUAAUUGCUUAUCUGAAUUUGGAUAGCAAAAACGAAACACAAUUUUUAUUCUGUCCAACUUUAGAUAGUCAAUAUUGUAUGGACUUGUCUGAAUUCGGAUAAUAAUACAAACUCACAAUUUGGUCAAGUGUAUUUACUUGUUCGUUUAAUGAUCAGGUACAAGGUUUCUUUCGUAAAUUAUCGUAUUUGGUAAAGUGUAUAUUAGCUUAGGACAGUGUAACAUAAUGAAUACUGGAUUUAAUCUGACAAUAUUUUGUAUUUGUAUAUUAAUAUAAAAUGAAGUGAAGUUAAUCAAAGUCUGCCUUUUAUCUGUUUUCGGAUAGAGCAGUUUUCUUAUACAUAUUUAGAUAUGUGGUUUCCUGUUCCCUGCUCGAGGUGUCUUGUAUUAUAUUCAUGAUCAUUAAAGUUAUGAAA
Molecule: long non-coding RNA, 2486 nt
Organism: Mercenaria mercenaria
Lineage: Eukaryota; Metazoa; Mollusca; Bivalvia; Venerida; Veneridae
Exons: 4
Source: RefSeq, a predicted model, not a curated record